UAACGGCGAGUGAAGCGGCAACAGCUCAAAUUUGAAAUCUGGCCCCUAGGGUCCGAGUUGUAAUUUGCAGAGGAUGCUUUUGACAAGGUGCCUUCCGAGUUCCCUGGAACGGGACGCCAUAGAGGGUGAGAGCCCCGUCUGGUCGGAUACCGCGUCUCUGUAAAGCUCCUUCGACGAGUCGAGUAGUUUGGGAAUGCUGCUCAAAAUGGGAGGUAUAUGUCUUCUAAAGCUAAAUAUUGGCCAGAGACCGAUAGCGCACAAGUAGAGUGAUCGAAAGAUGAAAAGCACUUUGAAAAGAGGGUUAAAAAGUACGUGAAAUUGUUGAAAGGGAAGCGCCUAUGACCAGACUUGGGCCCGGUGAAUCAUCCAGCGUUCUCGCUGGUGCACUUUGCCGGGCACAGGCCAGCAUCAGUUUGGCUUGGGGGAAAAAGGCUUUGGGAAUGUAGCUCCUCGGAGUGUUAUAGACCAUUGCAUAAUACCCUGGGCCGGACUGAGGUUCGCGCAUCUGCAACGAUGCUGGCGUAAUGGUCAUCAGCGACACGUCUUGAAACACGGACCAAGGAGUCGUCUUCGUAUGCGAGUGUUCGGGUGUAA
Molecule: ribosomal RNA, 594 nt
Filed under: Leptobacillium leptobactrum
Lineage: Eukaryota; Fungi; Ascomycota; Sordariomycetes; Hypocreales; Cordycipitaceae
Description: LSU rRNA
Rfam family: Eukaryotic large subunit ribosomal RNA
Source: RNAcentral